This 907-nucleotide ribosomal RNA is filed under the name uncultured bacterium. Its description in RNAcentral is "bacterial SSU rRNA". It matches the Rfam family "Bacterial small subunit ribosomal RNA", at positions 51 to 949 of the family's 1533-position model. The record is from RNAcentral.
ACACAUGCAAGUCGCAGGGUAACAUGAGGAAAGCUUGCUUUCCUUGAUGACGACUGGCGCACGGGUGAGUAACGCGUAUCCAACCUUCCCAUAACUACGGGAUAACCCGUUGAAAGACGGCCUAAUACCGUAUGACAUCGUUUGCUGACAUCAAAUAACGAUUAAAGGUUUAGCGGUUAUGGAUGGGGAUGCGUCUGAUUAGCUUGUUGGCGGGGUAACGGCCCACCAAGGCGACGAUCAGUAGGGGUUCUGAGAGGAAGGUCCCCCACAUUGGAACUGAGACACGGUCCAAACUCCUACGGGAGGCAGCAGUGAGGAAUAUUGGUCAAUGGGCGAGAGCCUGAACCAGCCAAGUAGCGUGCAGGAUGACGGCCCUAUGGGUUGUAAACUGCUUUUAUGUGGGGAUAAAGUGCGUGACGUGUCAUGCAUUGCAGGUACCACAUGAAUAAGGACCGGCUAAUUCCGUGCCAGCAGCCGCGGUAAUACGGAAGGUCCGGGCGUUAUCCGGAUUUAUUGGGUUUAAAGGGAGCGUAGGCUGUCUAUUAAGCGUGUUGUGAAAUUUACCGGCUCAACCGGUGGCUUGCAGCGCGAACUGGUCGACUUGAGUAUGCAGGAAGUAGGCGGAAUUCAUGGUGUAGCGGUGAAAUGCUUAGAUAUCAUGACGAACUCCGAUUGCGCAGGCAGCUUACUGUAGCAUAACUGACGCUGAUGCUCGAAAGUGCGGGUAUCAAACAGGAUUAGAUACCCUGGUAGUCCGCACGGUAAACGAUGGAUGCCCGCUAUUCGUCCUAUUUGGAUGAGUGGCCAAGUGAAAACAUUAAGCAUCCCACCUGGGGAGUACGCCGGCAACGGUGAAACUCAAAGGAAUUGACGGGGGCCCGCACAAGCGGAGGAACAUGUGGUUUAA